UGCAAGUCGAACGAUGAACCACUUCGGUGGGGAUUAGUGGCGAACGGGUGAGUAACACGUGGGCAAUCUGCCCUGCACUCUGGGACAAGCCCUGGAAACGGGGUCUAAUACCGGAUACUGAUCCUCGCAGGCAUCUGCGAGGUUCGAAAGCUCCGGCGGUGCAGGAUGAGCCCGCGGCCUAUCAGCUAGUUGGUGAGGUAACGGCUCACCAAGGCGACGACGGGUAGCCGGCCUGAGAGGGCGACCGGCCACACUGGGACUGAGACACGGCCCAGACUCCUACGGGAGGCAGCAGUGGGGAAUAUUGCACAAUGGGCGAAAGCCUGAUGCAGCGACGCCGCGUGAGGGAUGACGGCCUUCGGGUUGUAAACCUCUUUCAGCAGGGAAGAAGCGAAAGUGACGGUACCUGCAGAAGAAGCGCCGGCUAACUACGUGCCAGCAGCCGCGGUAAUACGUAGGGCGCAAGCGUUGUCCGGAAUUAUUGGGCGUAAAGAGCUCGUAGGCGGCUUGUCACGUCGGUUGUGAAAGCCCGGGGCUUAACCCCGGGUCUGCAGUCGAUACGGGCAGGCUAGAGUUCGGUAGGGGAGAUCGGAAUUCCUGGUGUAGCGGUGAAAUGCGCAGAUAUCAGGAGGAACACCGGUGGCGAAGGCGGAUCUCUGGGCCGAUACUGACGCUGAGGAGCGAAAGCGUGGGGAGCGAACAGGAUUAGAUACCCUGGUAGUCCACGCCGUAAACGGUGGGCACUAGGUGUGGGCAACAUUCCACGUUGUCCGUGCCGCAGCUAACGCAUUAAGUG
This 796-nucleotide ribosomal RNA is filed under the name Streptomyces coelicoflavus. Its description in RNAcentral is "bacterial SSU rRNA". It matches the Rfam family "Bacterial small subunit ribosomal RNA", at positions 56 to 866 of the family's 1533-position model. Lineage: Bacteria; Bacillati; Actinomycetota; Actinomycetes; Kitasatosporales; Streptomycetaceae. The record is from RNAcentral. RNAcentral also lists the same sequence under 2 other names.